Non-coding RNA from Phascolarctos cinereus (koala), 654 nucleotides. The record is from RefSeq and is a predicted model, not a curated record. NCBI's taxonomy places the organism in Eukaryota, Metazoa, Chordata, Mammalia, Diprotodontia, Phascolarctidae.
GGAACAAUGGUCUCUGGUUCCCCAGAUCACUUGGUUUCUUAAUUCUGGGAGAUUAAUUCCAACUGUUCGGACGACUCUGGGUUGGGGCUGGGGCUGAUGAGGUGGCAUCUUUUCUGAGGGGUUUCCAGGACUCAAAUGGGGACAGAAAAGGGAUUGUGAAAGGAGUUAGAGAUUUGGUUCUAAGGAGUCUGUAGAAGUAUCAAGAGGAGGAAAAAAGGACCACUCAGCAUGAUCCAGGGGUAAGAGCACUGAAUUUGGAAUUGAAAAACCUGUGUUUGAAUCCUGCCACUAACACUUAAUAACCAGAGGACAACCACAUCAGGAAGGGGACGCCGUGACGUGCAAGUGAAUCGGAUUGAAGUGAGGGAGGGCCGUGUGAGGUCACCAGCCCCACUUUCUCCUCCGGAGCCAGGUUCAUAGGAACAGGUGGCUAGAUACUGAACAAGGAGUUCCUUCCAUUUGAAUAUGGGUCUAUCUGAAGUUCUGAUAAUUUACACCACUGCAAACCAGAUAAUGAAGCCAAUGAGUUGGGAGUUGUAAAGCUGGCUGGACUUCUUGCUCCCAUCUCAACUCCUCCAUGCGUGGCCUUGGCCGUGAGCACCAGUGCCUCCUGAUUGAUGCUGGACACCUCCGGGGAGCUCUUCAUGAUCACCU